RNAcentral lists this ribosomal RNA (503 nucleotides) under uncultured Lachnospiraceae bacterium. RNAcentral describes it as "partial 16S ribosomal RNA". The record is from RNAcentral. Lineage: Bacteria; Bacillati; Bacillota; Clostridia; Lachnospirales; Lachnospiraceae.
CACGUAGUUAGCCGGGGCUUCUUAGUCAGGUACCGUCCUCUUUCUUCCCUGCUGAUAGAAGUUUACAUACCGAGAUACUUCUUCCUUCACGCGGCGUCGCUGCAUCAGGGUUCCCCCCAUUGUGCAAUAUUCCCCACUGCUGCCCUCCCGCAGGAGUCUGGGCCGUGUCUCAGUCCCAGUGUGGCCGUCCGCCCUCUCAGGCCGGCUACUGAUCGUGGGCUUGGGUGGGCCGUUACCCCGCCAACUACCUAAUCAGACGCGGACCCAUCGUGUACCGUACUAGAUAAGAUCUAGGCUUUCCGCCCUGUGCCAUGCGGCACUGUGCGCAUAUGCGGUAUUAGCAGCCGUUUCCGGCUGUUACUCCCCCUGUACACGGCAGGUUGUCCACGCGUUACUCCACCCGUCCGCCACUCGUCAGCAAAGAAGCAAGCUUUCUCCUGUUACCGUUCGACUUGCAUGUGUUAAGCCUGCCGCCAGCGUUCAAUCUGAGCCAGGAUCAAACU